RNAcentral lists this long non-coding RNA (1210 nucleotides) under Cercocebus atys (sooty mangabey). RNAcentral's name for it is "lncRNA (ENSCATG00000045872.1)". The record is from RNAcentral. Lineage: Eukaryota; Metazoa; Chordata; Mammalia; Primates; Cercopithecidae.
UUUGAAGGCAGAUGUUGAGAUAUGUAGAACAAAUUUUCAUUUCAUUUUCUUUGCUUUGAAAUUACGUGGUAAGGAAUUAUUCUAUCUCUCUGUCUUCAGUCACAAUUCCUAAUACAGAGAGAUUGAGAUUCACACAAUGUUUAAUGGUGAUGUUUGAUUGAUGAUAAUGGUGAUGAUGAUGAUGUUGGCGAAAGUGAUAAUCUGUAGAUCCUAGACUAGUGAUCCUCAAACUGGCUUUUAGAGUCCUCUAGAAUAUUUCAGGGGAAUAUGUAUGUGUACCUGAAGAGUUGCCAUCAUAAUAGUCCCUAGGUCAUGACUGCUAUAAAAGUCCCCUCAUAUUUUCUUCUUUCACUUCCAGAAGGACCUGCCCAAAAGUUGUUAUGGGUCCCUUUUGAGAUGACUUAUUUGACAUGAUAUGCUGCUACAGGACUCUCUAGGAAGGAAGUAGAAAGGAUAAAGAGGCAUGAACUAAUUUUUCUUGAGACAGAUUAUUACUUUGGUUGAGAGUAUGUGGUUAGCACUGUUUUAUUAACCCAUAGAGAGAAAAUAUCAUCCCUUAUCACCAAUGGAGAGAACAACACUGCUGCUUUCUCCCUUUGGGGGUCAACCUGACUACCCAGCCUGAGAUACAAAGGAAUAAUUUAGAAGCUAUGUGGGGACGAUUUUCAUAACUGUUUGGUUUCAAGGUUUUAAGCCUCAUUGACUUAGCUGAAAAACAUCACCCCUGGAAGUCUACCCACUCUGCAAAAGGUACAGAGACAGAGUGAUUCUUCAUCAGACUUCAACAAAAAAGUAAAAUGGAUUUUAUCAUACUUGGAAAACCAACAAUUGCAGUCUGGAUUCAAGCAUCACUGUUUGAUGCACCCAACUUGAGUCAAAAAGAUGCUUCAAAUCCCACUAGGCUGGAGAUGGAGCCAGAUUGAGAAAAACCAACCAACCAACCAACCAACGAACAGCAUGAUGGCUGAACCAGACAAGAGAAGUCCUGAAGAAAAAUACUUAUCAAUUACCAGAAUCUGUGCCUGCCAUACAUCAAAGUUCUGCAGCUUAACAAUGGAAAAGAAAAACUAAAAAAAGCUCCAAGGAAAGAGUGAGGAAACUUGAGUUCCGGUUCUGUGAGUGAGUUUUUAAUCUUGUAAAAUUUAUCUAAUCUCUCUGGUUUUAGCUUUUUCACCUGUAGAGUGGGGAUAAAACCUCACUUCAUUACUCC